GAACGGUGAAAAGAGAGCUUGCUCUCUGUUCUCAGUGGCGAACGGGUGAGUAACACGUGAGCAACCUGCCCCGGACUCUGGGAUAACAUCUGGAAACAGCUGCUAAUACCGGAUACCAGCUGCGAAGGCGUCUUCAGCAGCUGGAAAGAAUUUCGGUCCGGGAUGGGCUCGCGGCCUAUCCCCUAGUUGGUGAGGUAAUGGCUCACCAAGGCGUCGACGGGUAGCCGGCCUGAGAGGGUGACCGGCCACACUGGGACUGAGACACGGCCCAAACUCCUACGGGAGGCAGCAGUGAGGAAUAUUGCACAAUGGGCGAAAGCCUGAUGCAGCAACGCCGCGUGGGGGA
Molecule: ribosomal RNA, 346 nt
Filed under: uncultured bacterium
Lineage: Bacteria
Description: bacterial SSU rRNA
Rfam family: Bacterial small subunit ribosomal RNA
Source: RNAcentral